CCAUUUUUAUACAAUAAAUUUUAAUUAUAUUUUACUUAAUUACCUCCUAAACGAGCUAUAGGGUCGAUUAAUUAUCUCGUAAAUCCAAAGGUUAAAAAAAAAAAAUUAUUGAUACAUUAUCGAUAUCAUAAUAUACUACUUACUUGUGAGUAAACAAACAAUGUUGAUUAACCUGAAGCCGCUCCUAGAAAAGGAUUUGUGGCAGUUAGUUGUGUUACUAAUUGAUUUGGGGCCAACAUGUUCUUUUGUGGUGGCAUUCUCCGUAAUGAUGAAUGCAGAGUUGUGGCGAUUUCAUUAUGACUUGGAAUUAACUUGAAGUAGAGGAUUUCGUCUAUAGUGAUUCAAAUAUACACUUUGAGUCACCAUAUCUACUUAUCAAGAGGUAUAUGUUUCUUGUGUUUCUUUUCAAAGUUUUUUUUAGCUUAUUUUGGGAAUUUAGCUCCUUUUGAUAAAAAACAAUGUUGAUAUUUUAGGAGUUUCAUAAUUUUAUUUCGGCUCAAUUUUAACCAACGACUAUUCCUAUUUUUAACGUAACAGAAGAAAUCAACAAAAGCAAUCUAGUGUAAAGGAGUGAUGACGUCACACUGGUGGUGGUAGUGCAGUGAUUGGCGACGGCGAAGCUUGUUCGAGUGUAAUCACGGCGGAAGGAGAUAGCGACAAACUCGCGGGUUCAAUCCUACCCAUCAUAAACCCUGCUCUC
RNAcentral lists this long non-coding RNA (700 nucleotides) under Cicer arietinum (chickpea). RNAcentral describes it as "long non-coding RNA (CARI_LNC000957)". Lineage: Eukaryota; Viridiplantae; Streptophyta; Magnoliopsida; Fabales; Fabaceae. The record is from RNAcentral.